GUGAAUCAUCGAAUUUUUGAACGCAAAUUGCACUCUCUUCGGAGAGUAUGCCUGUUUGAAGGUCAGUAUUAAUAAAAAUCGGUGUGCUGCUUCUUUGUGCCUUUCCGGAGUUUGGGUCAUCUUAAUAUCUUUUAGGUUUUAAGAGGCUUAAAAUUGACUUUUUUUGCGCUUUUUAGAUGUAUAUAUAUUCUUUUUUUUAUUCGUCUGUCUUAGUGUUCAAAAUCCUAUUAGAUGCGACUAUAUACUGUGGUUACGUGUCUAUAAAUUUUUCAUGAUUCU
RNAcentral lists this unclassified non-coding RNA (279 nucleotides) under Rhizophagus sp. (in: glomeromycetes). RNAcentral's name for it is "partial contains 5.8S ribosomal RNA and internal transcribed spacer 2". The stretch from base 1 to 65 matches the Rfam family "5.8S ribosomal RNA", at positions 84 to 154 of the family's 154-position model. Lineage: Eukaryota; Fungi; Glomeromycota; Glomeromycetes; Glomerales; Glomeraceae. The record is from RNAcentral.